Molecule: long non-coding RNA, 886 nt
Organism: Triticum aestivum (bread wheat)
Lineage: Eukaryota; Viridiplantae; Streptophyta; Magnoliopsida; Poales; Poaceae
Exons: 3
Source: RefSeq, a predicted model, not a curated record
UUACGUUCCCAAUCCGCCUAUCGUCUCGCACGCAUUCGCCCCCUCCUCUCUUCACACCCACCUCCUCUCUGCAGCAGGGGGAGAGAAAUCCCUAGGUCGUCGACGACCGCAGCCGGCAAGAGAACAAACGGCGGCGACGAAUCACGGGGGGCAGCCCGCUCAGGCGAGACCACAUCGCUCCGCGCGGAGGCGAAGCACCGCCAGUUUCGAUUGAGAGGGCGACCGCACGGCCAGUGAAAGGGAGGGAGAAGGUACAGGCGGACAAAUCGGCGACGCGAAGACGAUGAGGGCGCGGCGAGCUGCUUCGUCCCCGUGGGGAAGAGAGUACGCAACAGAAAUAGUGAAAACUAGGCAAGGACAACUUUCCCACCAUCCCUGGCAUGGCAGUUUUUAAGAUGGAGGACUCCCCAGAUCAAUACGAUGGCAAGGCAAGGGGCAAGACAAUAGGCAAGAUAGUAAACAAGACAAUUCAGGAUCAUAGCAACUUCCACUAGCAUCCAGAUUCAGCUGGAGGAGGGGGAGGCAAGAAAUAGGGGGGACAUGAAUUUGUGCGAGAAAUCCCAAGUCAAGUUUCGCAACACGCUGUACAGGACACAUUUUAGGAAACUAGUAUGUCCAUUUCACGGGGAGGCACAGAGGGUCUACCAGAUCAAGACUAACAGGAUCAUGCCUUUUGUUUUUGCCAAAAGGAUAGGAGGCCCUUUACCUUGGUGUUUUUACUGGGGAGAAAAAUUUGCCCAGUCUCUAUCAAAUUCUUGCCGAUGUUUUUCCAUUCUAUUGCCUGAUCCGCAAGGAAGAGUGUUGAGAUGUAUAUUGCAUGUAUAUUUCUUGUACCUAUAUAUAUACAUGCAUAUGCACCCGAUGAAUAUAUUGUGAGUUGCACCAA